Molecule: long non-coding RNA, 446 nt
Filed under: Cicer arietinum (chickpea)
Lineage: Eukaryota; Viridiplantae; Streptophyta; Magnoliopsida; Fabales; Fabaceae
Description: long non-coding RNA (CARI_LNC003647)
Source: RNAcentral
UCCACCGCCUCUCUCCGGCAGCCAACCGAACCAAAACCUCAAUCAUCACCCAAUCCCUAACCGACCUAGGGUUGCAUCUUCAGCUCACCCUUUCAACCUCUCCACUGCAAUCCACCAAUCAGGUUGUCAUCAACCUCUUUCAGGUAAACAAAUUUCCUUUUCCAAUUAUUUCCUCACUGCUAACUCUUCCACCACCUUCGAUUUCCCAUUUGCAAUCCCCUGCAUUAGCUAUUUAUUUUUUACGUGUGUUUUGAUCCUUUUAAUGUAACUCACUCUCACUCGUUCUCCACCGCCGCAACACCGUAUCUGAGUCUAUCGCCUCCGCAUCAGCAUUUCCAUAGCCUCAUUCACUCUCGCAAUCUUCCUCACAUCGCACUAAGAAGUCGCUACAUGUACGUUUUUCCUUCUGUGUUCAGUUUCUAACAGUUUGUUCUAGGGUUUCUAUU